RNAcentral lists this ribosomal RNA (253 nucleotides) under uncultured bacterium. Its description in RNAcentral is "partial 16S ribosomal RNA". It matches the Rfam family "Bacterial small subunit ribosomal RNA", at positions 524 to 776 of the family's 1533-position model. The record is from RNAcentral.
UACGUAGGGGGCGAGCGUUAAUCGGAAUUACUGGGCGUAAAGCGUGCGCAGGCGGUUUUGUAAGCCAGAUGUGAAAGCCCCGGGCUCAACCUGGGAAUGGCAUUUGGGACUGCAAGGCUGGAGUAUGGCAGAGGAGACUAGAAUUCCUGGUGUAGCAGUGAAAUGCGUAGAUAUCAGGAGGAAUACCGAUGGCGAAGGCAGGUCUCUGGGCCAAUACUGACGCUCAUGCACGAAAGCGUGGGGAGCAAACAGG